Molecule: non-coding RNA, 137 nt
Organism: Callorhinus ursinus (northern fur seal)
Lineage: Eukaryota; Metazoa; Chordata; Mammalia; Carnivora; Otariidae
Source: RefSeq, a predicted model, not a curated record
AGCUUUGCGCAGUGGCAGUAUCGUAGCCAAUGAGGUUUAUCCGAGGCGCGAUUAUUGCUAAUUAAACCACAUGGCCAUGUGGUCUAAACAAAGUUUAUGGUACAAGUAUUAGAAAUGAUAAAAAGACUAACAGAUUA